CGAACCUCGGGAGGCAGCAGUGGGGAAUAUUGCACAAGGGGGGAAACCCUGAUGCAGCGACGCCGCGUGAAGGAUGAAGUAUUUCGGUAUGUAAACUUCUAUCAGCAGGGAAGAAAAUGACGGUACCUGACUAAGAAGCCCCGGCUAACUACGUGCCAGCAGCCGCGGUAAUACGUAGGGGGCAAGCGUUAUCCGGAUUUACUGGGUGUAAAGGGAGCGUAGACGGCAUGGCAAGGCUGAUGUGAAAACCC
Molecule: ribosomal RNA, 251 nt
Filed under: uncultured bacterium
Lineage: Bacteria
Description: partial 16S ribosomal RNA
Rfam family: Bacterial small subunit ribosomal RNA
Source: RNAcentral